GGUGGCGGCGGGGCCCGAGGGCGCGCCGCUGCCCAGCGAUGGGCGCCUGCCUUGACCGCCUCUGGAGACCGCAAGCAGUUCGCCGCCGCGGGGGUGCUGGCGUGGGUCCCUCGCCGUCCGGCGGCGACUGUAAAUAGAGCCUGGAUGUUGUUUACAUGAAAGAUCCGGCGGGAGGAGUCUGCGAGGAGGAGGCGGAGGAGGAGGGAGGGAGGAGAGGAAGAGCGGAGUCCCCGCGGCGACGGCGGUCCGGGAAGGGGGAAGGGACUUGGCGGAGGUCGCCUGCUUCUGGUCGCAGCUGAACCGGCGGCUUCUCCCUGCCUUCCCGGGCCACGGAAUCUUUCCCUUCACUCAGCUACCCGCGCGCCAGCUGCCACCUUUUUGGAGAAGGACCACACCUGUGCUUAUUCUCGCUUUGGAGGAGAGGUGAGCUGAAAAAACCAGAGAAUCUUCUGUUCCCAGAGUUCUUAGCUGAUCCCCCAUCUCAGAAUUGACCAGAAAGUGCUGCUUUCACCUGCUGAUUGCACCGGGCACAUCCAUCCUCGGACCCAGGCAAGUUGCAGUCUACACAUGUGCUGGGAUUUUCUUUUCCCUCUGGACCUGCACCCGACCAACCAGCAGCUAACUGCUGGGUUUAGAUUGAAGAGAGGUGACCUCCUUAGGUCAGUGCCAUUAUUUAUUCCUUACCAGGUAUUCUAAUGGAAUUGUCUGCUCUCUUCUCGCAGCCACCCCCCCCCUUUUUUUUUUUCCUUUCCCUAAGAGCUUAGCCCAGAAUCCGGCCUAAAGCAGCCUGUCUCUGGCUCUCUUUCCCUGGGCCCCACCCUGGCCCCUCUUGGUUCUUCAGAGCCAAACACGCCUCCCAAGCAGAAGACACACCCAGCCCCAAAUCCAGCCAUUCCAAAAGGGAGGAGAAAACGGUGGAAGAGAAGGGACCGAAGGGUCCCCUUUCUGUCCUGAAUAUCCCCAACAGCAUUUUCCUCUUCGAGCCUCCUAGGUUUAUAAUCCCUUCAUUCUUCUCACCAGCUGUCCUUCCUACACUUUUUGUCCCUAGUCCUAUGAUAGAUGCUUGGGAAGGUCGGGAUGAAGAGUGGAGAAGGAGGUUGUCACCCUUCUUCCCUAGAGUGAGGCAUUUUCCAUCUCCCUAGUCUUCAUUUUUGAGUGAAAUAUGUAAAUAUGUUUGCAUGCUUAUUUGAACAUGUUUUCUUGCUUGCUGAAUAAUAGCUGGGACUCACAAGGAAGGGAAGGGAGAGGAGAGAGAUGAGAAAUGAACAUCACCCCCCUAGGUUCCACCAUAUGAGCAUCCCCAGAGUUGCGGAAGACCCUUCUGUAAAAGUCAACAGUCUCUCUUUCAUGACAUCACCACCUAAGCCCUUCCAACUUUAGCUUCAGAACAGGAAGAACGCUCAAAAUAGAACUAUCUUAGGAAUCCAGCUCCUUUAGAAGAUCAGCUUUUCAAUCAGCUGCAGGAGGAACACUGAACUUUGACAGAGGGAGGGAAAACUGAAGUGUUUGUAAUUGGUUCCUUUGGGGGAAAAGUAGAGGGGAUACUUCCCAUGCAUAUUCAGAAAAGCGUGUCUCAGGAUAACUUGGGUACCUAGACCGCUGAAUGAUUAAUAGGAUGGUUUGGGAUUCGUUUAUUGAAUUAUUCAUAUGUUUCGGUAUGUCAACAAUAACAAGCAUUUUUCAGAAUGAAUUGAAAAGAGGGGCUCCUGGAAUGUGCUCUAAGAAGUAUAAAGGAGGUUGUGGAGGGAGACUGGGAG
Molecule: long non-coding RNA, 1757 nt
Organism: Lontra canadensis (Northern American river otter)
Lineage: Eukaryota; Metazoa; Chordata; Mammalia; Carnivora; Mustelidae
Exons: 3
Source: RefSeq, a predicted model, not a curated record